GGUUGUGGCUCAGUGUAGAGCACUUGCCUAGCAUGUGUGCAGCCCUGGGUUCGAUCCUCAGCACCA
RNAcentral lists this transfer RNA (66 nucleotides) under Marmota monax (woodchuck). RNAcentral describes it as "tRNA.Ala". Lineage: Eukaryota; Metazoa; Chordata; Mammalia; Rodentia; Sciuridae. The record is from RNAcentral.